Molecule: long non-coding RNA, 6753 nt
Filed under: Hordeum vulgare
Lineage: Eukaryota; Viridiplantae; Streptophyta; Magnoliopsida; Poales; Poaceae
Description: long non-coding RNA (HVUL_LNC001082)
Source: RNAcentral
CAUAAGAAGAAGUAUAAGCGGUAAAAUUUGUUGAAGGUUGACAAACACAUCACUAGUCUCUGAUGCAACACAUGAAAGAAUUAAUAAGGGAAGAGAAGAUUUACAUGCAAAAACACUAUCCUUGACAUGUUUUAUGAUUGUGAGACCCCAUUAGUUAUAGUAUGCCAAAACUGUUGGUGUUGCACAAGGAAGAGAAUGUAAUGAUUUAUGCUUGUUCACAUUCACGUGGAAGUUAUAUUGUUAUAGAUCCUCUAACAUGUGGCGCUUUCCCAAUAUCUUUGCUAGCCAAAACUCCGCAUUAAGUAGAGAUACUACUUAUGCAUCCAAAACCUUAAACCCAAAUCCAUGUUUUAAGAGUGCACCAUACCUACAUAUGGAUUGAGUAAGAUUCUUCAAGUAAGUUGUCAUCGGUGCACAAGGCAAUAAAAAUUGCUUCUAAACAUGUUCGAACAUUUAGUGUAAGGGAAGUUAAGAGUUGUAUGAACUUGUGAUGGCGAUAAUAAAAGCGAUAAACAACAUAAUAAAGGUUGCUAUCAUAAGGGGCAAUAUAACAUAACAUUCCUUUGUACUAAGGGAUUUGUCAUACAACCAAAAAGCACAUGACAACCUAUGCUUCCCUCUACGAAGGGCAAAUCUUUUACUUUUACAUAUUUACUUUUAUUCAAGAAUCAAAGUAUUCUUCUCUACUCAUUUUUAUUUGCUCUUUUGCAAGCAUCAUGUGGUGGGGAAAGAUCUAGGCAUAUAUAUCCAGUUGAAUGUGGGUGGUCAUAAAUUAUUAUUGUUGACAUCACCCUUGAGGUGAAUACGUUCGGAGACGACACUUUAAGCCCCUAUAUUUCUAUGUGUCUGAUUGAAAGCUUUUGCUCAUAUGUAUGUGGUGGGUGUUAGCAAUUAUACAAGAGUAAAUGAUGGUUGAGUUUGUAGACUUGCUUACAAGCUCCGAUAUGUGACCCUUCCUGAAAAUGUGAUGAAUUGUGUUGAAAAGUUGACUGAAAACAUACUUUCUUAGUUUUCCGUAGGGUUUAUGCUUCAUACUUCGAUGUUGUGAUGAAUUGUUACUUGUUUAUGAGAAGUUUUUAUGAUGAAAAUUAUGUGAUAAAGUAUAUGAUGAAGUUUAUUUUCGGUUAUAAUAAUGAGAAUAAUGCUACUGUGUUUGUAUUUUGUUUUUAUUGACACCUCUCUCUCAAAGCAUGUGGUCAUGAUUUUGGUUAUCGGCUUUUGCUUGAGGACAAGCGAGGUCUAAUCUUAGGGGAAUUGGUACGUCCAUUUUUCAUCAUGAUUUUCUACUUUUAUUUAUAGUGUUUGUAUGCAUUAUACCACUUUAUGGAGAAAUUCUAAUGCCUUUUAUCUCAUAAUAUGCAAGGUUUACACCAUGAGGGAGAACGCAAGCAGAUGGAAUUCUGGACCUGAAAAAACUACAUGAGAAAUACCUAUUCUGCACAUAUCCAAAUGGGCAAAAUAUUCAGAGGGAUAUUUUACAGAAUAAAUAAAAAAUACUUGAAGAAAGAAGUACCAGAGGGGGGCUGCUAGGUGGCCACUCGGCACUAGGGUGCGCCACCCCCCCCCCCCCCGGCAUGCCCUGGUGGGUAGUGGUCCACCUGACCAUCUUCUGGUAUAUAUUCACGUUUGACCUAGAAAAAAAUAAGGAGCGGACUUUCGGGAGGGAGUGCCACCGUCUUGAGGCGGAACUUGGGCUGGAGCACUUUUCCCCUCCGGCGGAGCGAUUACGUCGGGAAACUUCCCUCCCAAAGGGUGAAAUCGAGGGCACCGUCAUCACCAACAACCCUCUCACCUUGGGGAGUCCAAUCUUCAUCAACAUAUUCAACAACACCAUCUCCUCUCAAAACCUAGUUCAUCUCUUCUGUUCAAUCUUGUACCGGAACCUCAGAUUGGUACGUGGGGAUUACUAGUAGUGUUGAUUACAUCUUGUUGUUAAUGCUUUGUAGUUUAUUUGGUGGAAUAUCAUAUGUUCAGACCCAAUAUUCUAUUUAAUACCCCUCUAAUCAUGAGCAUGUUCAUCACUUGUGAGUGGUUACUUUUGUUCUUGAGGCCACAGGAGAAGUCAUCUUGCAAGUAGUCAUGUGAAGUUGAUAUUCGUUCAAUAUUUUGAUGGUAUGAAUGUUGUGAUUCCCUUCAUGGAAUUAUGUGAACAUCGACUACAUAAUACUUUACCAUCUUUGGGCCUAAAGGAAUGCAUUGUGGAGUAGUUAUUUGAUGAUGGGUUGCGGAGUGACAGAAACUUAAAUCCAAGUUUAUGCGCUACUCCGUAAGGGGCUGAUUUGGAUCUGUAUGUUUAAUCAUAUGGUUAGAAUAUAUUCUUAAUACUUUUCUCAUAGUUGCAAAUGCUUGCGGGCGGGUUAAUCAUAAGUAGGGAGCUUGUUCAAGUAAGAAUAGAACCCAAGCACCGUUUCGCCCACAUAUCAAAUUAUCAAAGUACCAAACGCGAAUUAAACCGACAUGACGAAAGUCACUAUAUGAAAUUCCCGUGUGCCCUCAAGAAUGCUUUGCCUAUUAUAAGAAACUAUUCCAGUUUGUCCUUUGCCAAAAAAGGAUUGGCUACCUUUCUGCACUUAUCAUUACUAUUGCUACUCGUUGCUUGUUACAAUUAUCUUCCUAUCAAGCAACUUGUUACCUCUAUUUCAAUGCUUGCGAAAUUACCUUGUUGAAAACCGCUUGUCAUUUCCUUCUUUUCCUUGUUGGGUUUGACACAAUUACUUAUCUAAACGACUACGACCGAUCUUCUAUACUUGUGGUCAUUAGGUACCUGUACCUGUGGUGUUGUAGUAAUUUGUGAGCCACGGGGAGUCAACAAUCUUGCGACCAUGAUAUCAAGACUAAUUAAGUUAUUGGGUGCGGCAUGGUUAAGUGGUGAGGUUGGAGCAACACUAAGCAAUAUUUGGUGGAUAUCUUACGAGAACAUAAUUUAAAUUGGGCAGUUUACGAAUAAACAGGCGUGAGAUGAAAAUGAUCUAGAGGUGAUCCUGAACACCUACUUACGUCAGACAUAACCCCAUCGUGUCCUGAGUCGGAGUAGAAACUAACGAGCACAGACAAUCAUAGUUACGCACAUAGUUGGCAGGUUUUAAUUGAGUUUACUUCAAUUUUUCUAUAACUAGAUGUUAAACAAAUUUCCAAGUUGCCACAUAACCGCAUGCAUGGCUUUCAGAAAGAUAUUAACCCUGUAGGGAUGCUCCAACUAGUCCAUCACAAACUAUCACAAGCUGCUCUGGAGAGAAAACCUCAACCUCAAGGUAGCCCAACGUAUCACCGAUAUCCGAGUGGACAAGACAUUAAUAAAGAGUAAAAAAAUUCCAGCAAGACCGCCCAGUAGGCUAGAUCCCAAUAGGACCCACACGUAUCUCUUUCUCACGGCACUACCAGAUGAGCUAGACGUCGAUUUGGCUGAAACCCCCGGUGACUAGGAGCCGCUGAACAUCGCUUGGUUUGGACCAAUACUCAUGAGGAGCACUCGCCCGGGUUCUUGAUUAAGAUCCAUGGGGUAGCUAUUCCCUAUGCAUUUUUAUUAAGUUCUUUAGCAAAUUUAAUAUCAAUGUUUGGCUUUGCCGGAAGAGUCUUAACUCAAAAUGAAUUAUCAAGGGGGUCCUCAUGACAACCCCAACUGUUUUAAGAGCACUCAAUAUGGAACAUGACACAAGUAACCGGAAACUAGGGCGGCAAAAGAGGAACAAAACACCGAGAAAAAGGCCAAUCCUUCCGCCUUCACAAGGUAUAUAUGUGCACUAAUUUAAAUAGAAAUAAUAAGAUGAUAUUCCAAAUUUCCAUGUCAACACAUGUAUUAACCUGUACCUGCAACUAGCAACGCUAUAAGAAGGUUUGAGAAAGCGCUAACUUAGCUAAUUAACGUUUGCUAGGAUGUGGAGGGGUUAGAGGCUUUUCAAGGCAAUGUUUGGAAGCUUGAUAUUCAGGUGGUAGGCAGAAAUAAAUAGCUAUGGAAAUGAGAAAGCUAAUCAUAAAAAAUUAUAAACGAUAUCAAGGUCACGAUCAUCUUGCCUAGCACUUCUUCUGAGGGAUAAAAGUCUAGCUCUUCAGGAACGUUCUCAACGGGAUACCCGUACUCGUUCUCUGCACUUGAUAGUACCAAAAAUAAAAUACAACAUCCAAUGAACACACAACAAGGCACAAUUCUUCAGACAAUAUGAUACAUGAGUAUGGUAUGAAUGAAGCAGGGCAAUGCUACACUAGUCAUCUUUCUCAUGCAAUUAUUUAGUUAUUACCAUUCUGUAUAGAACCUCAAGAGUAAUUAUUUCGACAUGCAUGACAUGGAAAAAAUAAAUGCAUAAUGAUAAAAUUAUACAAAUGCAUAUAAAGAACGUCACAAACCGAGUUACAGAUCUCUCGAAACUCUCACGACAAGAUACAGAAGGCAAUGAUGAUAAAAACAGAAUUUGAGAGCGGAUAUGGGAAAUUCCUUAGCAUUCCAAGUGUUCCACAGGAUUGGGAACGAAAUUAUUGGUUAAGUAGACCUAAAUUUAAUUCCAAACAAAGGAGCACAACUAAAACAAAGCACGAAACAAUCCAACAAGCAAUAUGUCCACAAACAGCAACAUACCACUUUGUUCAGAUGAAAACGAAUAGCUACAGCGCCCAUCAAGUUCAACCCAAACAUGGAUAUGAAGCUAAAAAAGAGUACAACAACCCCUAACUAAAAUCAACAUGGAUAUGUUCAUGAACCAAUGGCAAUCAAGAUCCUAAUAUGGCAACAAUUAUAACAAAUUAGGACUUGGUGAAAAUUUCAGUUUUAUACUAGCAGUUUUAUCAUGAUGGCAUGUUGAUAGCAAUAAAACUCUAUUCUACAGUAAGUUUCAUAGCAUGAAAUUUGACAGGCUCGUAGAGGACAACAAUCACUAAAAUUCACUCCCACUAACCAUGAGCCAAAACUGAACAAAAACAAUGGUAGCCUCCUCUAAACAUGGCAUGAUGAUAUAAGCAGAUUCUCAAACUUAGUCAAAUUUCACAGGGUGAAUUCACAGCAGUUUACAACAACACGGCAUGUUUGACAGCAACAAUAGCUAAGAUGCAAGGCCUAUUUUUCAAAGUAAUGACUCCAUUUAAUAGAGGGCAACAUGCUAUUUAAUUCACACCACAAUUCCAACACAAAGAACUAGUAUAUGCUUGGCAAUCGUCAUGCCAACACAACUAUUUGAAAUAGUUUUCACACUUAGUCAUCUUUCAACAUACCCAAGCAACAAUAUUGAGAUGGCAUGUUUCGAGCAAGAAAGCUACAAAUAUACAGGGUUUUCAAGGCGAAUAAAAAUACCAGGGCCUAGCACUCCCAAAAUACUACAACUUUCAUUUGACAAGUUUGGCAAAGGGUGCAAGGCUUGCUCCACAAAAAAAAAAUAGGCAUCAUGGUGUCAAAUAGCAUGCACAUCAACUUGCUAAAAAGACAAAACUAAUGUCAUCAUUGGAUUCCUUGGACUUUUCUACCCCAAAAUUACAUAUCAUAAGCAUAUGCUCCUGUAGACAAAUCACCCACAAACUACAACUCAAAAUGCAAUUAACUAGGUAUAACCUAGUAUAUGCCAAAUUAGCAUAUGCUCAAAAUGGACAUGGAUAGAUUUGGAACUUGCCCUAUAAACAAAAAUAAUCCCGCGGGGGGCACCAGUGAUAGUGACACCAAGGCCCCCUAGCUGAAUGACAGGUGGGCCAUAGCGCUCUCGUCAGCUAUUCCAUUUAACACUGAGAGAAAAGAAUGGGGGCUUGGGAGGAUACGAAUCAGAGACAUCGUGGUGGAGCACUACACCUGCUACCACUGGGCUACGCUACGGCGUCGGAUCUAAUCGGUUUCUCGCUUCUUAGAUCAAGCAAAAUGACGGCCACUCUAGCGACCAACAGCCCAGGAGAACGAGGGGGGGGGGGAGCUCAUUNNNNNNNNNNNNNNNNNNNNNNNNNNNNNNNNNNNNNNNNNNNNNNNNNNNNNNNNNNNNNNNNNNNNNNNNNNNNNNNNNNNNNNNNNNNNNNNNNNNNNNNNNNNNNNNNNNNNNNNNNNNNNNNNNNNNNNNNNNNNNNNNNNNNNNNNNNNNNNNNNNNNNNNNNNNNNNNNNNNNNNNNNNNNNNNNNNNNNNNNNNNNNNNNNNNNNNNNNNNNNNNNNNNNNNNNNNNNNNNNNNNNNNNNNNNNNNNNNNNNNNNNNNNNNNNNNNNNNNNNNNNNNNNNNNNNNNNNNNNNNNNNNNNNNNNNNNNNNNNNNNNNNNNNNNNNNGGGGGGGGGGAGCUCAUUCGCUAUGCCGAGGGAAGGUUGCGGGGCGAAGGGGCUCGCUUCAAGCUCGAGGAGGAUCUCUACUCAGCCAUUGCAUGGCGGGGCUGAAGACGAAGCAAGGCGAUGGCGAGCGCUCGCGGAUGCGGCGGGGCGACGCAUAUUUCCACACGCGAGCUGCGGAAAACUACUAAAGCAUGCGCGAGGAAGGGGACGCGAAAUAAACCAAAACCCCUCUUUGAAGAACUCCAUCAGAGAAGCGCCGAGGCGCGGGGUGCAAAGUGACGGCGAGGCCUACAUGGGAGGACACACGCCUGGAUCUGGGAAAAAGCGAGGGGAAUGGGACAGCGGCUACCUCCACUACCUGCUGACGCUCGGAUCUGGCCCGGGUUGCUGCACGACGACGGUGAUGUGUUGUGAAUCCUUGUCGGGAUUCUGCUCCAUGAAACAGAGGACGACGAUGACCAUGCUGCAGGGCUUGGGUCCUAGUGGCGCAUGCGGGGAUGAAGAAAAAGCUGGGACGAGAGAGGUACCAUAC